Long non-coding RNA from Mizuhopecten yessoensis (Yesso scallop), 201 nucleotides. RefSeq lists it as uncharacterized. The record is from RefSeq and is a predicted model, not a curated record. Lineage: Eukaryota; Metazoa; Mollusca; Bivalvia; Pectinida; Pectinidae. The transcript has 2 exons.
UGCCAUAUACCUUUAAAAUGUCUGACGAAAUGCAAUUCAUGUUUCUUGAACAGCAUGAAGGAAAGCCAUACUGCCAUAAACCGUGUUACUCCGCCUUGUUUGGCCCCGGAGGGUUCGGUCGCGGAGGAGCUGAAAGCUACAAAUACUAAACAAUAUCUCACUCAUCUGAAAUGUCCAAAGUUAUUGCCAACAACAACAGCA